This 497-nucleotide ribosomal RNA is filed under the name uncultured bacterium. RNAcentral describes it as "partial 16S ribosomal RNA". It matches the Rfam family "Bacterial small subunit ribosomal RNA", at positions 28 to 507 of the family's 1533-position model. The record is from RNAcentral.
GAUGAACGCUGGCGGCGUGCCUAAUACAUGCAAGUCGAGCGAACGGACGAGAAGCUUGCUUUUCUGAUGUUAGCGGCGGACGGGUGAGUAACACGUGGAUAACCUACCUAUAAGACUGGGAUAACUUCGGGAGACCAGAGCUAAUACCGGAUAAUAUUUUGAACCGCAUGGUUCAAAAGUGAAAGACGGUCUUGCUGUCACUUAUAGAUGGAUCCGCGCUGCAUUAGCUAGUUGGUAAGGUAACGGCUUACCAAGGCAACGAUGCAUAGCCGACCUGAGAGGGUGAUCGGCCACACUGGAACUGAGACACGGUCCAGACUCCUACGGGAGGCAGCAGUAGGGAAUCUUCCGCAAUGGGCGAAAGCCUGACGGAGCAACGCCGCGUGAGUGAUGAAGGUCUUCGGAUCGUAAAACUCUGUUAUUAGGGAAGAACAUAUGUGUAAGUAACUGUGCACAUCUUGACGGUACCUAAUCAGAAAGCCACGGCUAACUACGUG